Molecule: long non-coding RNA, 318 nt
Organism: Mauremys reevesii (Reeves's turtle)
Lineage: Eukaryota; Metazoa; Chordata; Testudines; Geoemydidae
Exons: 3
Source: RefSeq, a predicted model, not a curated record
GACUUGUCCGGACUGCCCGAGCUACCAGAUACACCUGAUGCUGAGGAGUGGCUGGGAUUACCGCUUGCACUGCACCCAGGGGAGACGGAUGACAACCCAGAGAUCCAGGUGACUACAUGAAAUUGAAACAAGUUGAUGCCUUUUUUGAUCAAAUGCAUGAAAGUACCACAGGGACUGUACAUUCUGCUUCAUAAACUGGGAGUUCAGACAGGAGUAGAAGCAUAAGAAAACAUGUGAGAGAGCCUGAUCUCAUCGUAUCCCUGGCUUGCGCAGAAGCAGGAGGUCCUGGAAAUCUGUUACGGCAUCCUGUGCUGCAGA